GACGAACGCUGGCGGCGUGCCUAAUACAUGCAAGUUGAGCGAUGAAGAUUGGUGCUUGCACCCAUUUGAAGAGCAGCGAACGGGUGAGUAACGCGUGGGGAAUCUGCCUUUGAGCGGGGGACAACAUUUGGAAACGAAUGCUAAUACCGCAUAAUAACUUUAAACAUAAGUUUUAAGUUUGAAAGAUGCAAUUGCAUCACUCAAAGAUGAUCCCGCGUUGUAUUAGCUAGUUGGUGAGGUAAAGGCUCACCAAGGCGAUGAUACAUAGCCGACCUGAGAGGGUGAUCGGCCACAUUGGGACUGAGACACGGCCCAAACUCCUACGGGAGGCAGCAGUAGGGAAUCUUCGGCAAUGGACGAAAGUCUGACCGAGCAACGCCGCGUGAGUGAAGAAGGUUUUCGGAUCGUAAAACUCUGUUGGUAGAGAAGAACGUUGGUGAGAGUGGAAAGCUCAUCAAGUGACGGUAACUACCCAGAAAGGGACGGCUAACUACGUG
Molecule: ribosomal RNA, 497 nt
Filed under: uncultured bacterium
Lineage: Bacteria
Description: partial 16S ribosomal RNA
Rfam family: Bacterial small subunit ribosomal RNA
Source: RNAcentral